RNA transcript from Megalobrama amblycephala (Wuchang bream), 1911 nucleotides. It is a transcript of the gene named spermatogenesis associated 6, with no coding region annotated. Lineage: Eukaryota; Metazoa; Chordata; Actinopteri; Cypriniformes; Xenocyprididae. The transcript has 13 exons. The record is from RefSeq and is a predicted model, not a curated record.
AUUUCCUCGCAGUUUCACGGCAGCUUGGGCUGUUGUGUUGUCAUAGCAACCAAGUUUAAAAAACAUGGGUGGACUGACACCGCCCAAGAAGCUUUCAGCCUCACAAAUGCGACAAAAAGCCCUAAAAUGCACGGUCGAAUUGGAAAUCCAAGCUAUCACUUGUCCAGGGGUGGUGCUGCCAUCCCAAGAGGACAUUUAUGUUAGUGUUCGGAUAAUGGGCCAGUACCAGAAGUCCAAGUGUGUUCCUCCAGUUUUCCCUCUGCUGCUGCAUGAAAAAAUGGUGUUUGUGAAGACCUUUGUGGGAGUGGUUGACCCGGGUGCUGUAGCUGAGCAUCUGCAGAAUGAUACAACAUCUUUAGAGCUCAUUCAGCUCGUUCCUCCAGAGGGUGAGAUCCUGGCCACGUUUGAAGAUGACACCCGGGUGUUUCUGUAUCCAGGCCCUCGUUUGACUCCCAGAAGCCCCGGCCCAGAGAGAGAGAUUCUGAUGAAGAGAUCCAUCUCCUUCCCCGGAAUCUCUCCCAAAGUGGAGUUCUCAACGACAUCUAUUAUUGAGGAGUGUGAUGUGAAACAUGGUCAGCCUGCCAUGUCUUUAUGUAAUCGAUCUACUACUAAGCCCCGCCUUGUGAGAACCUGCCCUUCAAACACAAAGAAGAAGAAACCAGACACAGCGCCAUCCUGUGGAUACGAAAAGCCAACGGUGGCAUCCCAAAGCCGUGCUCCUUCACCAUACACCCACCGCAAGAUGUGUCAGCUGUCCGAGGAGGCCAGACAACGACUCAGCCACCUCAAACUUGGGCCCUACACAUUUAAGAAAGAAACGGUUCCUCAGGCUCCAUUUGUGGUGCCCCGAAGCCCAAACACGUCGCUGAUGGAAUCCCCAACGUGUCUUACAUCUCACUCUGCUACUAAAAGAAGCCCGCUACAACUGCGAUCACGGAGCUACACCGCAAACCUCACAGAUCCAUCUCUCCUUGGAAGUUUCAGAUCAAAGCCCUCACAGGCGUCCAUGCAGGCAGCCAGAAAUUCCCCAAAUAAAUCCCCCAAAGAGCAUUCCACACCUGUGUCCAGCACUCUCAGAGACCAGAGUCCAGUCCUGAGCCGCUCUUCACUGAGAGAACGGUUCCAGAGUUCAUCCAGUCCCUCACAGUCCAGAGAGAUCCACAAACGAGUGCAGAGAAUCCUAAACAGCUCCGGUCCCCGCUGCAAGCUUUCUUUUGUACGUCACGCCUGAGAUCGCAACCGCAUGUAAUGCUGUCAUUCUAUGUGCACGUUAACCCAUGCAAAAUGAUUCUCCAAAACACUCAUUACGGCACAUGUCAGUGUUUCAAACGUCCUCCAUUGAUUCUGUCAGGCGCUCUGUAUUCUUCACAUCCAUUGUGUCAGGAUGUGCUGCCACUGUUUUCCAGGAAGUGAACGAGACAGGAGAGAGAGAGGAGAGAUGCCACUGUGGCACAGUCGGGUGCCAAGCGCUGUGUGGCUGAAGCCCAGCUCGAGAAGGGAAAUGUGUAAUCCACUUCAGAGUUAAAAAGAGAGAAGUACUAGGAUUUAUUUUAAAGAGUUUUAAUCAAGCAGUUCAAAGGAUCUGCUUUUUAUUAGAGUUUCACUCUUCAUGCAUUGGCAUAUUUUGGAGAAAUUUAAUUAGUUUGGGAUAUUCAGCGACAUUGCUUUGUGCUAAUUUCACCAUAUUAUUAGUUGUUGUUUUUUUCCUUCAAAAAGAAGUUUGUGAAUAUUUUCCACAAACGUGUGUAUGUGUGUUGUCAGGAUGAAGAGAGUGAGGAGGAGGGAGUCAGACAGAGUUCAUGCGUUUCCACCCACCAUGAUGUGAUUGACAGCCGGCUCCCACAGGACAGGCUUAUUCCUGGAGAACCAUCUGUUCAUUUAGACAACGGCACAUUUUGGACUAACAGAGCG